Prosopis cineraria is the source of this 769-nucleotide long non-coding RNA. RefSeq lists it as uncharacterized. The transcript is spliced from 2 exons. NCBI's taxonomy places the organism in Eukaryota, Viridiplantae, Streptophyta, Magnoliopsida, Fabales, Fabaceae. The record is from RefSeq and is a predicted model, not a curated record.
AGGGCUUGCUAUGGUGUCUUGAGGUUUGUCAUGGAAAGUGGUGCCAAAGAUCAUGAGGUUUUUGCAAGCGGCAAGCUCAGGGCACUACGUGCUAAAUUUAUGUAAUUCAAGGACAGGUACAUGAUACACGCUAAAACCACCGAAAUUACAGUUUUGGUGGAAGCCUGUAAUAAGUCACUUACACAGUUUCCAACAUGAAACCAGACAUGAUAAUCAUCUGGUCAGCCUGUAAUAGAAUAAAUUGACCCUGUUGGAAGGCAUGUGCUUUUGAGACAGAUGAGCAUAUAUUUUCAUUUGGCACUGGUUCAAAAUUCAAUUUCAAUUAGAGUAUGGGACUGAUUGCAGUUCCAUGAACUAAGCACUAUUACGACUGAAUGUUGUGAUUGACCUCUUUAAGCUGCAAUUGUUGCAGGGUGUUCUUGGGAUCAAGGAAGAAUGCUUCAUUGGGAUCCCAAGGGUAAGCAAGGGCCAAUAAAACCACUGCCUGAUUUGGUUACCAUCCAUUUCCAUUCCAUCCGCCAGAGGAGGAAGUGGAUCAGGCCUCUAUCACAGCCUGUUAACAUAAAAAUUGAUGUGGUCUAGACAAUCACCGCCACUUUUUCAUCAUUUUUGCUAUUGAUUUUGUAAUUUAAAGAGUAGAGAUCUGGUCGUUAAAGGCUGAUAGCUAUGCUAUAUGGUUCUGGUUCUGUUUUGGGAAAAUAGCAAUGGAGGACCUCUGGAUGAAUUUUAUAUUAAUUAAGGAUUAGUUGUGUAAAUUCAAAUGGAAGAA